AUUGAACGCUGGCGGCAGGCCUAACACAUGCAAGUCGAGCGGAUGAAGGGAGCUUGCUCCUGGAUUCAGCGGCGGACGGGUGAGUAAUGCCUAGGAAUCUGCCUGGUAGUGGGGGAUAAAGUCCGGAAACGGGCGCUACUACCGCAUACGUCCUGAGGGAGCAAGUGGGGGGUCUUCGGACAUCACGCUAUCAGAUGAGCCUAGGUCGGAUUAGAUAGUUGGUGGGGUAAAGGCCUACCUAGCCGACGAUCCGUAACUGGUCUGAGAGGAGGAUCAGUCACACUGGAAGUGAAACAGGGUCAAGAGGACUAAGGGAGGCACCAGUGGGGAAUAUUGGACAGAGGGGGAAAGCCUGAUCCAGCCAUGCCGAGUGUGAGGAGAAGGUCUUCGGAUUGUAAAGCACGUUAAGUGGGGAGGAAGGGCAGUAAGUUAAUACCUUGCUGUUUUGACGUUACCAACAGAAUAAGCACCGGCUAACUUCGUG
Molecule: ribosomal RNA, 484 nt
Filed under: uncultured bacterium
Lineage: Bacteria
Description: partial 16S ribosomal RNA
Rfam family: Bacterial small subunit ribosomal RNA
Source: RNAcentral